GUAGUUUGACUCUGGCUCGAGGAUAGACGCUGGCGGCGUGCUUAACACAUGCAAGUCGAACGAAGCACUGAAAGCAGAUUACUCGGUUUGAAGCUUUCUUUGACUGAGUGGCGGACGGGUGAGUAACGCGUGGGUAACCUGCCUCAUACAGGGGGAUAACAGUUAGAAAUGACUGCUAAUACCGCAUAAGCGCACGGUUUCGCAUGGAACAGUGUGAAAAACUCCGGUGGUAUGGGAUGGACCCGCGUCUGAUUAGCUGGUUGCGGGUAACGGCCCACCAAGGCGACGAUCAGUAGCCGGCCUGAGAGGGUGAACGGCCACAUUGGGACUGAGACACGGCCCAAACUCCUACGGGAGGCAGCAGUGGGGAAUAUUGCACAAUGGGGGAAACCCUGAUGCAGCGACGCCGCGUGAAGGAAGAAGUAUUUCGGUAUGUAAACUUCUAUACAGCAGGGAAGAAAAUGACGGUACCUGACUAAGAAGCCCCGGCUAACUACGUG
This 500-nucleotide ribosomal RNA is filed under the name uncultured Lachnospiraceae bacterium. RNAcentral's name for it is "bacterial SSU rRNA". It matches the Rfam family "Bacterial small subunit ribosomal RNA", at positions 1 to 507 of the family's 1533-position model. Lineage: Bacteria; Bacillati; Bacillota; Clostridia; Lachnospirales; Lachnospiraceae. The record is from RNAcentral.